CCAUGGAUUCCUUCAAGAUCUUCGCCCUCUUCCUCCUCAUCUCCACCCUCUCCAUUUCCUCCGCCGUCGUCCAGCCCGAUUGCGGCUCCUGCUCCCAACCCGCCCCCAAAAAGCCCAAACCCACCGUGCCCGUGCCACCUGUGACAGUACCGAAGCNGCCCGUGCCUCUGCCGCCUGUGACGGUGCCGAAGCUGCCCGUGCCCUUGCCGCCUGUGACGGUGCCGAAGCUGCCCGUGCCUCUGCCGCCUGUGACGGUGCCGAAGCUGCCCGUGCCCCUGCCGCCUGUGACGGUGCCGAAGCUGCCCGUGCCCCUGCCGCCAGUGGGGGGGACACCGAAGGGGAAAAGUGGAUGCCCGCCCCGCCGGCGAAAGGAGGUAAGGAGGAGACGUGCCCCAUCGACACACUGAAGCUAGGUGCAUGUGUGGAUCUUCUGGGUGGGUUGGUGCACGUGGUGGUGGGAGACCCCGCCGUGAACGAGUGCUGCCCCAUCAUCUCCGGCCUGGCCGGGGGGGAAGCCGCCGC
This 522-nucleotide long non-coding RNA is filed under the name Salvia miltiorrhiza (redroot sage). RNAcentral's name for it is "long non-coding RNA (SMIL_LNC011064)". Lineage: Eukaryota; Viridiplantae; Streptophyta; Magnoliopsida; Lamiales; Lamiaceae. The record is from RNAcentral.